AAAAAUAACUUUUAGCACUGGUUCCACACGAAAUCAUAUCGAACUCGAUUGUGACCCUAGUGUUUACCAAAGAUACUGCUUUUCGCGGGAAACAUGGUUCA
This 101-nucleotide ribosomal RNA is filed under the name Aureococcus anophagefferens. Lineage: Eukaryota; Pelagophyceae; Pelagomonadales; Pelagomonadaceae. The record is from RNAcentral.